GACGAACGCUGGCGGCGUGCUUAACACAUGCAAGUCGAACGGAAAGGCCCUGCUUUUGUGGGGUGCUCGAGUGGCGAACGGGUGAGUAACACGUGAGUAACCUGCCCUUGGCUUUGGGAUAACUUCAGGAAACUGGGGCUAAUACCGGAUAGGAGCUCCUGCUGCAUGGUGGGGGUUGGAAAGUUUCGGCGGUUGGGGAUGGACUCGCGGCUUAUCAGCUUGUUGGUGGGGUAGUGGCUUACCAAGGCUUUGACGGGUAGCCGGCCUGAGAGGGUGACCGGCCACAUUGGGACUGAGAUACGGCCCAGACUCCUACGGGAGGCAGCAGUGGGGAAUAUUGCACAAUGGGCGGAAGCCUGAUGCAGCAACGCCGCGUGCGGGAUGACGGCCUUCGGGUUGUAAACCGCUUUCGCCUGUGACGAAGCGUGGGUGACGGUAAUGGGUAAAGAAGCACCGGCUAACUACGUG
This 468-nucleotide ribosomal RNA is filed under the name uncultured bacterium. Its description in RNAcentral is "partial 16S ribosomal RNA". It matches the Rfam family "Bacterial small subunit ribosomal RNA", at positions 28 to 507 of the family's 1533-position model. The record is from RNAcentral.